UAAAAAGGGAGUGGGCGGCGGAGGUGUGAGGGCGUAGGUGGAGCCCUAGGAGGGUCUAGCCUAGCUAGGUUAGCUGGUCGCGGUGUAGCGGAGGAGGAGGUAGGAGACGACGAGGGAGCGAGUUGGGGGACGUAGGUCACGGAAGGGCGCGGCCGUUGGCUCAGGGGGUGCGUCUCGGUGGAGGACGGCGGCAAGUGGAGCUGACGCGGGCUCGGAAGGGGAUGGGCUCGGUACGGAGCAGGAACCGGGGGAGGAGCGGAGCGGCAUGUUGUUGCUUGCAGCGGCGACUUCGAGGAGGCGGUAACUGCGGCCAGGGGUUCAUGCUGCGGCGGCGGACCUCACAGGGGAGGCGGUUGAAGGAGACAGAGACCAAGGCUCACCGGAGCGACGGAGCGGUUGUCCUCGUCGUCGUCUCGGCACCUGUCCGGUCGGGGAGCGCGGGGAGAGGAAGGAGGAAGAGGGACAGUAGUAGAGGAGGGAAAGAGAGAGACUAAGGGCAGCACCGGCAGGAGCGUCCAUUGGCUCGAGGCUUGACGCGGCGGGCCGGUACCUACGGCGGUACCUGCGACUCGAGGAGUUCGAGCCACCGCAGGUCCGGGCAAAGGUCGAUCUAGGCUUGCGGGACAUGGAGCGGCGGGGAAGCGGGCGAGCGGCCUCGAGACGAGGGUCGGCAAGAGCGGCGGUUCAGACAGCGAGACUUGGACAGCGACGGCAGAAAGAAGUCUCUGCUCGUCUCCUCGAGCGGGCCAGGUCGGCGCAAACAACUGGCGCAGGUUGACGAGCUAGACGGUCGCGAAUCGGAGCUAAACCUUUCCGGGUCACCGGACGGUCGCGGGCUCCGGGUCGACACGCGGAUCGUCGGUCUAGGCCGGAUGGGACGAAGGAGGUAUUAACCCGGGCCGGGUACCCACUCCGUGUGGGGGUCGCGGGUGGAAAAAAAGGACUACAACCCGGUCAAGAACAAAGCCGGGUAUUACCUAAAAAAGUCUAGAUCUCUAAAACAGAAAUAAGUCUCUCACGUCAAAAAAUCUUUUGGGGAAUCGGAAGUACGUAAAUUAUAGAGUGUUUGAUUCGUAGUGUACAUUUUUGAAACAUAUGUUUUGAACGAAUCUAAAAGUAGAUCAAAUUAUUAAAAGUUUAAAGUACUUACAAACUGAACAAAUUUUACAACAGACCAAUUUAAACGAGGAUACGGUACAAUUUUACGAAAUAAAGUAUUGAUUUAUUGGCAUUGAGCCUUAAAUUGUUUGAAAUAUACAUUUACCCCAUCUUUUUACGGAUCAAAUUGUACUACGUGAGUAGAUCGUACAAAUUGUUGAGAUUUUAAUACAAAUCCCGUCUUGUCAUGGUUUGGAUUAUAUACGUAUACACCUCAAAGGCCUGAACGACAAAACAACAAGGCCGGAGUAAAUUUGAACGGAUCUAAUCUAUCAAAGUAGUACGAAGUGGAGAACGGUACGAUUGUUGUAAAUUGGAACAACCCAUGUAUUUGCUCUCUCUUCAUUUAUUCAGUACACCACAAAAGAAGUUAUACGUUGAGGCAACGUAUAACUCGAGGUCAAUUAAACAUCCUAACAAACACGUAGAACGGUACGGUACGAAGUAAUUUGGCCUGUACGUAGUAUGAACUAACACGUAGUACGGUACAAAUACCCCACCAAAAAAUGAUACAACAAACGAAAGAAAGGCCACAUAAAGAAGAGCUAUUAGGCUAUUGCAGCGCAAACACUCCUGGGCAAGCUGAUGCAGGCAAACAGAAGAAGUACCUGAGCAAGAAGAAGGAACGCCCUAGAGUCAAACGUCCACGGCUACUAUGACACGUCUACUGCGUUGGUUCGAGUCCUCCUCGAGCUACUUCUAGAACAGGAAAUACAACAAAGCAAGAUCAGCUAGUCAUCACCUCGGGUCAACCCCAGCUAGCCCGUAGACACAUCGUAAACCCCAUCAGAAGAAAAUAAAACCGAGGCAUCAGCCCGGAACUAACAUAGACCUACUACAUUACGAAAUAAGAACAUAAACACACUUCACCGCUAACAUUCGGUUGAUACAUAGAGAAAGGGAAUACAUAAUGUACCCAACACACUUCUAAUGGAGUGAACGCUG
RNAcentral lists this ribosomal RNA (2103 nucleotides) under Triticum aestivum (bread wheat). RNAcentral's name for it is "partial small subunit ribosomal RNA". Lineage: Eukaryota; Viridiplantae; Streptophyta; Magnoliopsida; Poales; Poaceae. The record is from RNAcentral.